Molecule: ribosomal RNA, 571 nt
Filed under: Physoderes nr. vestita 00052186
Lineage: Eukaryota; Metazoa; Arthropoda; Insecta; Hemiptera; Reduviidae
Description: eukaryotic LSU rRNA
Rfam family: Eukaryotic large subunit ribosomal RNA
Source: RNAcentral
CACGGACCAAGGAGUUUAUCGUGUACGCAAGUCAUUGGGUAAAUAAAACCCAAAGGCGAAAUGAAAGUAAAGAGUAGUUUUUAUUUCUUCUUUUAUAAUAAAUCUCUUUAAGGAAGAUGGAAAUUAUAUAUUAUAUUAUAUAUAGUAUUUAGUUUCUCGCAUUCCUGGGGCGCUUGUUUCACGCUUUGCGUGUCGAUGCGCACCUAGAGCGUACACGCUGAUACCCGAAAGAUGGUGAACUAUGCCUGGCCAGGACGAAGCCAGGGGAAACCCUGGUGGAGGUCCGCAGCGAUUCUGACGUGCAAAUCGAUCGUCGGAGCUGGGUAUAGGGGCGAAAGACCAAUCGAACCAUCUAGUAGCUGGUUCCCUCUGAAGUUUCCCUCAGGAUAGCUUGCGCUCGGUUGAGAAGAGUCUCAUCCGGUAGAGCGAAUGAUUAGAGGCAUUGGGGUCGAAACGACCUCAACCUAUUCUCAAACUCCAAAUAGAUGAGACCCCCGGCUUUCUUAAAAGUGAAGCCGUGGGAUUCGGAUCAGAGUGCCAAGUGGGCCAAUUUUGGUAAGCAGAACUGGCG